GGGCGAAUCGAAUACGGGUGGCGGCCGCGGGCAGUUUGAGUCGGAAUCUGGGCUCCAGCCCGGCGGAGGCCGCGCCGGAACCGGACUUCCCGAGAGGUUGCCUUCCCCUCCCAGGUAGCGACGGGAGCGAGUUUAUUUAUAAAUGCUGGCAUAAUAAAGAAGGGAGAACAAAAUGAGCUGGGCUUUGGAAGAAUGGAAAGAAGGCCUGCCUACAAGAGCUCUUCAGAAAAUUCAAGAGCUGGAGGGACAGAUGGACAAACUGAAGAAGGAAAAGCAGCAAAGGCAGUUUCAGCUUGAUACUCUGGAGGCUGCAUUGCAGAAGCAAAAGCAGAAGGUUGAAAAUGAAAAAAGCGAGGGCACAAACCUGAAAAGGGAGAAUCAAAGAUUGAUAGAAAUAUGUGAAAAUCUGGAGAAAACUAAGCAGAAGAUUUCUCAUGAACUUCAAGUCAAGGAGUCACAGGUGAAUUUUCAGGAAGGACAACUGAAUUCAACCAAAAAGCAAAUAGAAAAACUGGAACAGGAACUUAAAAGGUAAUUUUUCUGAAUGGCAAUUUAUGGAUAUUGUUUUUAUGUGUUCAUUGGAUGCAUGUAUCUUUUCCUUUGACAAUGCAAUUAUUAUAAAUUGCAAUGUUUUUU
Molecule: non-coding RNA, 636 nt
Organism: Microcebus murinus (gray mouse lemur)
Lineage: Eukaryota; Metazoa; Chordata; Mammalia; Primates; Cheirogaleidae
Source: RefSeq, a predicted model, not a curated record